RNAcentral lists this ribosomal RNA (194 nucleotides) under uncultured Bacillus sp. RNAcentral's name for it is "partial 16S ribosomal RNA". It matches the Rfam family "Bacterial small subunit ribosomal RNA", at positions 338 to 524 of the family's 1533-position model. The record is from RNAcentral. Lineage: Bacteria; Bacillati; Bacillota; Bacilli; Caryophanales; Bacillaceae.
CCUACGGGAGGCAGCAGUAGGGAAUCUUCCACAAUGGACGAAAGUCUGAUGGAGCAACGCCGCGUGAGUGAAGAAGGUUCUCGGAUCGUAAAACUCUGUUGUGAGGGAAGAACAAGUACCGGAGUAACUGCCGGUACCUUGACGGUACCUCAUUAGAAAGCCACGGCUAACUACGUGCCAGCAGCCGCGGUAAU